This 468-nucleotide ribosomal RNA is filed under the name uncultured bacterium. Its description in RNAcentral is "partial 16S ribosomal RNA". It matches the Rfam family "Bacterial small subunit ribosomal RNA", at positions 28 to 507 of the family's 1533-position model. The record is from RNAcentral.
GACGAACGCUGGCGGCGUGCUUAACACAUGCAAGUCGAACGGAAAGGCCCUGCUUUUGUGGGGUGCUCGAGUGGCGAACGGGUGAGUAACACGUGAGUAACCUGCCCUUGACUUUGGGAUAACUUCAGGAAACUGGGGCUAAUACCGGAUAGGAGCUCCUUCUGCAUGGUGGGGGUUGGAAAGUUUCGGCGGUUGGGGAUGGACUCGCGGCUUAUCAGCUUGUUGGUGGGGUAGUGGCUUACCAAGGCUUUGACGGGUAGCCGGCCUGAGAGGGUGUCCGGCCACAUUGGGACUGAGAUACGGCCCAGACUCCUACGGGAGGCAGCAGUGGGGAAUAUUGCACAAUGGGCGGAAGCCUGAUGCAGCAACGCCGCGUGCGGGAUGACGGCCUUCGGGUUGUAAACCGCUUUCGCCUGUGACGAAGCGUGAGUGACGGUAAUGGGUAAAGAAGCACCGGCUAACUACGUG